RNAcentral lists this unclassified non-coding RNA (87 nucleotides) under Pseudomonas yamanorum. The record is from RNAcentral. Lineage: Bacteria; Pseudomonadati; Pseudomonadota; Gammaproteobacteria; Pseudomonadales; Pseudomonadaceae.
UGUGGGAGCUGGCUUGCCUGCGAUGCAGGCAACUAGGUGUAUCAGUCGCACCGAGGUGAUGCCAUCGCAGGCAAGCCAGCUCCCACA